RNAcentral lists this ribosomal RNA (289 nucleotides) under Chaetoceros neogracilis. RNAcentral's name for it is "partial Bacterial large subunit ribosomal RNA". It matches the Rfam family "Bacterial large subunit ribosomal RNA", at positions 2090 to 2378 of the family's 2925-position model. The record is from RNAcentral. Lineage: Eukaryota; Bacillariophyta; Thalassiosirophyceae; Chaetocerotales; Chaetocerotaceae.
CCCGUGAACCUUUACUAUAGCUUUGCACUGAACUUUGAACCUAUUUGUGUAGGAUAGGUGGGAGACGUUGAAACCGAGUCGCUAGAUUCGGUGGAGUCGACCUUGAAAUACCACCCUGGUAUGUUUGGAGUUCUAACCCAGGUCCGUAAGCCGGAUCGGGGACAGUGUAUGGUGGGUAGUUUGACUGGGGCGGUCUCCUCCCAAAGCGUAACGGAGGAGCACAAAGGUGGGCUAAGCAUGGUCGGACAUCAUGCGGUUAGUGUAAUGGCACAAGCCCGCUUAACUGCGA